GAUUAGCUUGUUGGUGAGGUAAAGGCUCACCAAGGCUACGAUCAGUAGCUGGUCUGAGAGGAUGAUCAGCCACACUGGGACUGAGACACGGCCCAGACUCCUACGGGAGGCAGCAGUGGGGAAUCUUGCGCAAUGGGCGAAAGCCUGACGCAGCCAUGCCGCGUGAAUGAUGAAGGUCUUAGGAUUGUAAAAUUCUUUCACCGGGGAAGAUAAUGACGGUACCCGGAGAAGAAGCCCCGGCUAACUUCGUGCCAGCAGCCGCGGUAAUACGAAGGGGGCUAGCGUUGCUCGGAUUUACUGGGCGUAAAGGGCGCGUAGGCGGACAGUUUAGUCAGAGGUGAAAGCCCGGGGCUCAACCCCGGAAUUGCCUUUGAUACUGGCUGUCUUGAGUUUGGGAGAGGUAUGUCGGAACUCCGAGUGUAGAGGUGAAAUUCGUAGAUAUUCGGAAGAACACCAGUGGCGAAGGCGGCAUACUGGCCCAUACUGACGCUGAGGCGCG
RNAcentral lists this ribosomal RNA (499 nucleotides) under uncultured bacterium. Its description in RNAcentral is "bacterial SSU rRNA". It matches the Rfam family "Bacterial small subunit ribosomal RNA", at positions 239 to 755 of the family's 1533-position model. The record is from RNAcentral.